UUAUUUCGGCAAUACAUAUACUAAAAUUGGAACGAUACAGAGAAGAUUAACAUGGCCCCUGCGCAAGGAUGACACGCAAAUUCGUGAAGCGUUCCAUAUUUAG
RNAcentral lists this small nuclear RNA (103 nucleotides) under Octopus vulgaris (common octopus). The record is from RNAcentral. RNAcentral also lists the same sequence under 1 other name. Lineage: Eukaryota; Metazoa; Mollusca; Cephalopoda; Octopoda; Octopodidae.